Molecule: ribosomal RNA, 496 nt
Filed under: uncultured bacterium
Lineage: Bacteria
Description: partial 16S ribosomal RNA
Rfam family: Bacterial small subunit ribosomal RNA
Source: RNAcentral
AUGAACGCUGGCGGCGUGCCUAAUACAUGCAAGUCGAGCGAACAGACGAGGAGCUUGCUCCUCUGACGUUAGCGGCGGACGGGUGAGUAACACGUGGAUAACCUACCUAUAAGACUGGGAUAACUUCGGGAAACCGGAGCUAAUACCGGAUAAUAUAUUGAACCGCAUGGUUCAAUAGUGAAAGACGGUUUUGCUGUCACUUAUAGAUGGAUCCACGCCGCAUUAGCUAGUUGGUAAGGUAACGGCUUACCAAGGCAACGAUGCGUAGCCGACCUGAGAGGGUGAUCGGCCACACUGGAACUGAGACACGGUCCAGACUCCUACGGGAGGCAGCAGUAGGGAAUCUUCCGCAAUGGGCGAAAGCUUGACGGAGCAACGCCGCGUGAGUGAUGAAGGUCUUCGGAUCGUCAAACUCUGUUAUUAGGGAAGAACAAAUGUGUAAGUAACUAUGCACGUCUUGACGGUACCUAAUCAGAAAGCCACGGCUAACUACGUG